RNAcentral lists this long non-coding RNA (624 nucleotides) under Mus caroli (Ryukyu mouse). RNAcentral's name for it is "predicted gene 15239 (MGP_CAROLIEiJ_G0004300.1)". Lineage: Eukaryota; Metazoa; Chordata; Mammalia; Rodentia; Muridae. The record is from RNAcentral.
AGCUGUCAGAGAGUCCCUCUCCAGUAACCUGCCCUUUUUUCUUCUCUUCUGUGCUGGGUGGGAACCAGUGGCUGUUGGACAGCAGCUAAGAGCCCAACACAUGUGCUCUUCUGAGAACCAGGGAACGCAAUGCAUUGAGAUUACUUUAUUGGCCACUCUUAAGUCUUUUUAAGUGUGAUUCUAGGGCUGCAAGGAGAUGAAGAUAUCAACAAGUGAGGAGAAGGUUGGUAUUAUACACAUGAUGGCCUGGCCAAUGUGAACCUUGCCCACUGGGCCCUGGGGCUUCCCAAUGGUGAUCCAUAUACCUCUCUGAAGCCUAGACUGGUGACAAGAUGAGAUAAGCGACAUGACUAUUCACCAGAAAGUUCAGUCCCCAAGGUCUCUUAGAGAAACCCCUAUAUACAACCUCCCAAGAAGCAUACUGUUUGCAGUCACUGCACAGCACGCUCCAAGGGGAAAGGGACUUAGUUUAAUUGGAUACAGAUUUUUAAACAAGGUAAUUGCUAUCUUUCAAUAAUAUCUGAAAUAUUGAUAUUUGAUUGAAUAUUGAUCCAAAAAUACCUUUAUACAACAGUAUCCCUGUGGGUAACUGUUACAGAAAUAAAUCUAAUAGUAAUGAUGCCA